GUGCUCGCUUUGGCAGCACAUAGACUAACAUUGGAAUGAUACAGGGAAGAGCAUGGCCCCCGAGCAAGGGUGACAUGCAAAUUCGGGAAGCGUUCCAUAUUUUU
Echinops telfairi (small Madagascar hedgehog) is the source of this 104-nucleotide small nuclear RNA. The record is from Ensembl. NCBI's taxonomy places the organism in Eukaryota, Metazoa, Chordata, Mammalia, Afrosoricida, Tenrecidae.